CCUGCUUGACAAAUCCAUGCACGAAUGGCGAGUGUGUUGUCAACGGAACCGAUCAUUUCUGCUCGUGUCGUCCAUGGUGGAAAGGAUCUAACUGUGAAACAUUUUCGACUCCUGUACACUGCGGUUGCUAUGAGAAUAGCAAUUCAGCUCGUUUGUUACCUUACAUGAUUCAAGGAUCAUUUCUGAACAGUCCAAACGAAUGUGCAACACGCUGCAGUACACACAAUUAUUCCUUCGCCGGAGUAGAGUUCGAGUGGCAAUGUUUCUGUGGCAAUUCGUUUGAUGCUACUAAAAAGAAGCCUGACAACGAGUGUAACAAGAGAUGUCCCGGGGAUAUCAGCAAGAUGUGCGGAGCUGCCAACAGAAUCAAUAUCUAUGGAGACCGUGACGGCGCAUGCCCAACCGACUAACGAAUACAUUAAACUGAGUUUGCCUUCUACACAUGGCAUGUUUUAGUAUAGCGUACGUUGUUGUCCAAUCGUCACUCAUAUUCAGUUUAAAGUAAUUUAGAGUUGUUUUAUUUUUGUUUUACUGUCACAUUAAAGGAAGUGUGGUACCCCACCGUACGAAAUUGAGUUACGGUUUCAAAUUAAUGUGACCCCAUGUUUGGUAUCUCGUCUCAACGAGUAACCAUUAAAUAUUAGUUCGGUACGAAGACGUACUUAGAAGUUUCCAAUAAUUAAUUAUUUUACCAAGAACAAGUAAUUCUUGAUAACGAAAUAACUAACUUAUGUGAAAUACUUAGUAGGUCGUUGUACAAAAAACAACAUAAAAACAUAAAGUUAUGGGAACGAGAUACUAAGCCAUGGUUUUGUUAUAAAUAAAACAAUCAGAUGCCUCAUAUGUACCU
Molecule: long non-coding RNA, 850 nt
Organism: Dreissena polymorpha
Lineage: Eukaryota; Metazoa; Mollusca; Bivalvia; Myida; Dreissenidae
Exons: 3
Source: RefSeq, a predicted model, not a curated record